AUACGGAGGGUCCGAGCGUUAAUCGGAAUUACUGGGCGUAAAGCGCGCGUAGGUGGUUCAGUCAGUCAGAUGUGAAAGCCCCGGGCUCAACCUGGGAACUGCACCUGAUACUGCUGAGCUAGAGUACGGUAGAGGGCAGUGGAAUUUCCGGUGUAGCGGUGAAAUGCGUAGAGAUCGGAAGGAACACCAGUGGCGAAGGCGCCUGCCGGGACUGAUCCUGACACUGAGGUGCGAAAGCGUGGGUAGCAAACAGGAUUAGAUACCCUGGUAGUCCACGCCGUAAACGAUGUCAACUAGCCGUUGGGGGACUUGAUCCUUUAGUGGCGAAGCUAACGCGAUAAGUUGACCGCCUGGGGAGUACGGCCGCAAGGUUAAAACUCAAAUGAAUUGACGGGG
This 396-nucleotide ribosomal RNA is filed under the name uncultured bacterium. RNAcentral describes it as "partial 16S ribosomal RNA". It matches the Rfam family "Bacterial small subunit ribosomal RNA", at positions 523 to 918 of the family's 1533-position model. The record is from RNAcentral.